Molecule: ribosomal RNA, 228 nt
Filed under: uncultured bacterium
Lineage: Bacteria
Description: partial 16S ribosomal RNA
Rfam family: Bacterial small subunit ribosomal RNA
Source: RNAcentral
CCAAAAAAAGACAGUCUCAGUUCGGAUUGAAGGCUGAAAUUCGCCUUCAUGAAGCCGGAAUUGCUAGUAAUGGCAGGUCAGCAUACUGCCGUGAAUACGUUCCCGGGCCUUGUACACACCGCCCGUCACACCAUGAGAGUUGGGGAUACCCGAAGCCUGUGAGCUAACUUUUAGAGGCAGCAGUCGAAGGUAGAAUCAAUGAUUGGGGUGAAGUCGUAACAAGGUAUC